CAGUAGCCGCGGUAAUACGAAGGGGGCUAGCGUUGUUCGGAUUUACUGGGCGUAAAGGGCGCGUAGGCGGACUGAUAAGUCAGGGGUGAAAUCCCAAGGCUCAACCUUGGAACUGCCUUUGAUACUGUUUGUCUUGAGUUCGAGAGAGGUAAGUGGAACUGCGAGUGUAGAGGUGAAAUUCGUAGAUAUUCGCAAGAACUCCAGUGGCGAAGGCGGCUUACUGGCUCGAAACUGACGCUGAGGCGCGAAAGCGUGGGGAGCAUACAGGAUUAGAUAGCCCCGUAGUCCCUGUCUCUUAUAC
Molecule: ribosomal RNA, 301 nt
Filed under: uncultured bacterium
Lineage: Bacteria
Description: partial 16S ribosomal RNA
Rfam family: Bacterial small subunit ribosomal RNA
Source: RNAcentral